This is a long non-coding RNA of Xenopus laevis (African clawed frog), 1860 nucleotides long. RefSeq lists it as uncharacterized. NCBI's taxonomy places the organism in Eukaryota, Metazoa, Chordata, Amphibia, Anura, Pipidae. The transcript has 3 exons. The record is from RefSeq and is a predicted model, not a curated record.
AUUUUUUUUUUCUGACAACAAAGUUAUUUUUAUUAAAAAAAAAGAGAAAUGUGUUUUUUUGUGUCUGUGUUCUCACAUUGUGUUGUGUUGUUCUAGGUGUGCCUACUCUUCCAUCUGCUGGCACGGUGCAUAGCCUUGCUUGUGAUGCUGCCACUGUUGUACCUCCACCUGUCACUACUAACACAUUCCAGGCCCCACAACCACAUCAUGAGCAGUGCCUUUCUAGGCAGCCUGGAGCUAAAGAGUAACACAAAUGCACUCACUUGCUGCACUUGACUUGUGUUGUCAUGGAAACAGUGGCAGUUUGUACAAACCAGGGAGGCCUUUCCCAGAUCACCCAUUGGAAGUGGUGUUGGGCUCUCAGAUCACUCUCAGGAACACUCGUGGCAAACCUGUCCCUUUUUGGCUUCACUCGCACAAACACACGUACCCUGUGAGGUGACUAUUUACCCAGCAGCCUCAUUUGGGAGCACAUUGAAAAUCUAUUCUGCCAUCAGUUUGAAACUCAAUGAGAAUCCUCAUUGUCUCCUCCUGUUCUCACUUGCAGGGCAGUAUAAAUGACCCAGAUUUGCUAAACCACUGUAAUGUUGGUAAUACUUUCCCUUUAAAUGUGACUGGACUGCAGGCUUACAUAGAUCUUCUCUUUGUGCAGAUAUGAAGGGGGCGUGGGAGCUCCCACCAGCAACAGGUCACCUGCUCCCCAUACAAUGAUGUCAAUAACUGGAGGAUUGAGAAGGACCUUGCACAGUAAAGUGAGAGUGGGGAUGUAUUUCAUUCAGAGUUUAACUCAUGAAGGAGAAUCUGAUUACAUUUCCACAAGCUGGAAGUGUUUGGAGAGAAAGCUUUGAAAGUUACCACCAAAGCCUGGUGUGGAACAUGGAGGAGCACAGAGGGGAGUCAGUACCACUUAUCUUUUCCCACCUCUCCACCAGACUCAGAUUCAGCUCAUGGACAACCCAGUGAUAUGAUAUUCUGCCAACCUCAGUGCCCUGACUUACUCUGCUUUACUGAUUUUCUACCUACUGCAUCCCACACGGUCUGAUCAGAGCAGGGGGUUAUGGGAGAUUAUACCCAAGUAAUAUGUUGGCAUGUAUGUAUGGAAGCAACUACCUGCCCACCAAAAUGGUGGUGCUGCUGCUGCCAUGUGGGUGAGACCUUAAUUCUGCUUGUUUGUCUGCGCGUCAGAGAGGGAGUGUGAGUGAGUGAGCAUUACAGUGCAGUAGGUGUGCCCGUGGCUACCUGUGGCUGCUGCACCGAGUUAACCCACCAGAUUGCCACUGUCGGCCUGAAUACAGAACUUAUUCUGAUUUCCCAGUGCCUCCCACCUGUAAUUCACUUGUGGGAAUUGUAGUUCAGAGGAGUCUCUCUCACUCUUUCUCUCAUUCUGCGCAGGGCCACCAGCAUGGGGCACAGUUCCUGCUGCUGUUGCUGACUCUGCUGCUGCUGGAGAAGGAUGAAGGAGCCGCCGGAUAAGAAGCCACAGGAGGGGGGUGAAAAAGUAUUUGCUGCUGAAUUUUAGAGCCUGGAAUAUCUGGAAAAAUAAGUAUUUACUAACAACCUCACCACCCACUGUCCAGUUCAACACUACCAGCCGCUGACUGAUUGGACCUCACCACGGUGCUACUUCCUGUCUCCAUUCAGACCUCGGUGAUGCACAGACCUGGGACAUGUCUAUACUUUUCUGGCUUUAUGUCUGUAUAUGCCAGUGGGUACAUGAGUAUACAGACUACAUUCAAUGAUGGGGAAUGGAGGGAGAUUCCCAGGAAUGACCAUUAGAAACAGAAUCUCCCGUACAGCGAGAUACCAUAAAACUAUGGCAGAAUAUGUAUUUCCCUGUACUAAGCACAAUUCAGCAGAAAC